AAAAAACUGAACAGAGCAUACUGAGAGUACAAUGUACAUUACCCGGCGGGGGGAAGCAUCCUGUUAUAAAAGAAAGUAGAGGAAAGAAUCUUUGCUUCAAUGCCACAAUUCAUAUAGCAAGUCGUAUGAAUGAAAGCAAUGUAAACAAGAAGAGAAUUCCUGCAUUUACUCUGAGAAGAAUGUAUGACGGACAGCGCGAGGAGAUGAGAUCUGGUGUUGCCAAUGACACAAGAAGCUAAACAAUUAAUAAAUGCCAUAUUCUUCAAAGUUGGGAAAGGCUAAUUGCAUGAGAAAGCUGGCCUUCUAUUAGGUAAAGGUGAAGGACCCCUGGACAGUUAAGUCCAAAGGCGACUAUGGGGUUGCGGCGCUCAUCUCGCUUUCA
Non-coding RNA from Podarcis muralis (Common wall lizard), 382 nucleotides. Lineage: Eukaryota; Metazoa; Chordata; Lepidosauria; Squamata; Lacertidae. The record is from RefSeq and is a predicted model, not a curated record.